UAAGCGGAGGAAAAGAAACUAACAAGGAUUCCCCUAGUAGCGGCGAGCGAAGCGGGAAGAGCUCAAAUUUAUAAUCUGGCACCUUCGGUGUCCGAGUUGUAAUCUCUAGAAGUGUUUUCCGCGUUGGACCGCACACAAGUCUGUUGGAAUACAGCGGCACAGUGGUGAUACCCCCGUACACGGUGCGGACGCCCAGCGCUUUGUGAUACACUUUCAAUGAGUCGAGUUGUUUGGGAAUGCAGCUCAAAUUGGGUGGUAAAUUCCAUCUAAAGCUAAAUAUUGGCGAGAGACCGAUAGCGAACAAGUACCGUGAGGGAAAGAUGAAAAGCACUUUGGAAAGAGAGUUAACAGUACGUGAAAUUGUUGGAAGGGAAACGCUUGAAGUCAGACUUGCUUGCCGGAGCUUGCUUCGGUUUGCAGGCCAGCAUCAGUUUUCCGGGGUGGAUAAUGGUGGUUUGAAGGUAGCAGCCUCGGCUGUGUUAUAGCUUUCCACUGGAUACAUCCUGGGGGACUGAGGAACGCAGCGUGCUUUUUGCGAAGGUUUCGACCUUUUCACGCUUAGGAUGCUGGUGUAAUGACUUUAAACGACCCGUCUUGAAACA
This 602-nucleotide ribosomal RNA is filed under the name Rhodotorula kratochvilovae. Its description in RNAcentral is "eukaryotic LSU rRNA". It matches the Rfam family "Eukaryotic large subunit ribosomal RNA", at positions 47 to 661 of the family's 3401-position model. The record is from RNAcentral. Lineage: Eukaryota; Fungi; Basidiomycota; Microbotryomycetes; Sporidiobolales; Sporidiobolaceae.